This 988-nucleotide ribosomal RNA is filed under the name uncultured archaeon. RNAcentral's name for it is "bacterial SSU rRNA". It matches the Rfam family "Archaeal small subunit ribosomal RNA", at positions 1 to 999 of the family's 1478-position model. The record is from RNAcentral.
UCCGGUUGAUCCUGCCGGACCCGACUGCUAUCAGAGUGGGACUAAGCCAUGCGAGUUAGCGCAGCAAUGCGUGGCAUACGGCUCAGUAACACGUAGUCAACAUGCCCAGGGGACGUGGAUAACCUCGGGAAACUGAGGAUAAACCACGAUAGGCCAUGAUUUCUGGAAUGGAUCAUGGCUGAAACCUAUAUGGCCCCUGGAUUGGACUGCGGCCGAUCAGGCUGUUGGUGAGGUAAUGGCCCACCAAACCUGUAACCGGUACGGGCUCUGAGAGGAGGAGCCCGGAGAUGGGCACUGAGACAAGGGCCCAGGCCCUAUGGGGCGCAGCAGGCGCGAAACCUCUGCAAUAGGCGAAAGCUUGACAGGGUUACUCUGAGUGACGUCCGUUAAGGACGUCUUUUGGCACCUCUAAAAAUGGUGCAGAAUAAGGGGUGGGCAAGUCUGGUGUCAGCCGCCGCGGUAAUACCAGCACCCCGAGUGGUCGGGACGAUUAUUGGGCCUAAAGCAUCCGUAGCCGGUUCUGCAAGUCUUCCGUUAAAUCCACCUGCUCAACAGAUGGGCUGCGGAGGAUACUACAGGGCUAGGAGGCGGGAGAGGCAAGCGGUACUCAGUGGGUAGGGGUAAAAUCCUCUGAUCCACUGAAGACCACCAGUGGCGAAGGCGGCUUGCCAGAACGCGCUCGACGGUGAGGGAUGAAAGCUGGGGGAGCAAACCGGAUUAGAUACCCGGGUAGUCCCAGCUGUAAACGAUGCAGACUCGGUGAUGGGUUGGCUUUGAGCCAACCCAGUGCCGCAGGGAAGCCGUUAAGUCUGCCGCCUGGGGAGUACGGUCGCAAGACUGAAACUUAAAGGAAUUGGCGGGGGAGCACCACAAGGGGUGAAGCCUGCGGUUCAAUUGGAGUCAACGCCGGAAAUCUUACCGGGGGCGACAGCAGAGUGAAGGUCAAGCUGAAGACUUUACCAGACAAGCUGAGAGGAGGUGCAUGGCC